RNAcentral lists this ribosomal RNA (451 nucleotides) under uncultured soil bacterium. Its description in RNAcentral is "bacterial SSU rRNA". It matches the Rfam family "Bacterial small subunit ribosomal RNA", at positions 26 to 518 of the family's 1533-position model. The record is from RNAcentral.
AGAACGAACGCUGGCGGCAUGCCUAAUACAUGCAAGUCGAACGAAUGCCCUUCGGGGUGUUAGUGGCGCACGGGUGCGUAACGCGUGGGAAUCUGCCCUUGGGUUCGGAAUAACAGUUGGAAACGACUGCUAAUACCGGAUGAUGACGUAAGUCCAAAGAUUUAUCGCCCAGGGAUGAGCCCGCGUAGGAUUAGCUAGUUGGUGGGGUAAAGGCCUACCAAGGCGACGAUCCUUAGCUGGUCUGAGAGGAUGAUCAGCCACACUGGGACUGAGACACGGCCCAGACUCCUACGGGAGGCAGCAGUAGGGAAUAUUGGACAAUGGGCGAAAGCCUGAUCCAGCAAUGCCGCGUGAGUGAUGAAGGCCUUAGGGUUGUAAAGCUCUUUACCCGAGAUGAUAAUGACAGUAUCGGAAGAAUAAGCUCCAGCCUAACUCCGCGCCAGCAGCCGAC